GACGAACGCUGGCGGCGUGCUUAACACAUGCAAGUCGAACGGUAAGGCCCUUCGGGGUACACGAGUGGCGAACGGGUGAGUAACACGUGGGUGAUCUGCCCUGCACUUCGGGAUAAGCCUGGGAAACUGGGUCUAAUACCGGAUAGGACCCUGGGAUGCAUGUCCUGGGGUGGAAAGCUUUUGCGGUGUGGGAUGGGCCCGCGGCCUAUCAGCUUGUUGGUGGGGUGAUGGCCUACCAAGGCGACGACGGGUAGCCGGCCUGAGAGGGUGACCGGCCACACUGGGACUGAGAUACGGCCCAGACUCCUACGGGAGGCAGCAGUGGGGAAUACUGCACAAUGGGCGCAAGCCUGAUGCAGCAACGCCGCGUGAGGGAUGACGGCCUUCGGGUUGUAAACCUCUUUUAGUAGGGAAGAAGCGAAAGUGACGGUACCUGCAGAAAAAGCACCGGCUAACUACGUGCCAGCCGCCGCCGUAA
RNAcentral lists this ribosomal RNA (478 nucleotides) under uncultured bacterium. RNAcentral's name for it is "partial 16S ribosomal RNA". It matches the Rfam family "Bacterial small subunit ribosomal RNA", at positions 28 to 523 of the family's 1533-position model. The record is from RNAcentral.